This 253-nucleotide ribosomal RNA is filed under the name uncultured bacterium. RNAcentral's name for it is "partial 16S ribosomal RNA". It matches the Rfam family "Bacterial small subunit ribosomal RNA", at positions 524 to 776 of the family's 1533-position model. The record is from RNAcentral.
UACGGGGGGGGCAAGCGUUGUUCGGAAUUACUGGGCGUAAAGGGUUCGUAGGUGGCCAACUAAGUCAGACGUGAAAUCCCUCAGCUUAACUGGGGAACUGCGUCUGAUACUGGUUGGCUUGAGUGCAGGAGAGGAACGCGGAAUUCCAGGUGUAGCGGUGAAAUGCGUAGAUAUCGGGAGGAACACCGGUGGCGAAGGCGGUUCUCUGGGCCUUACCUGACGCUGAGGAGCGAAAGCGUGGGGAGCGAACAGG